Molecule: long non-coding RNA, 268 nt
Filed under: Sorghum bicolor (sorghum)
Lineage: Eukaryota; Viridiplantae; Streptophyta; Magnoliopsida; Poales; Poaceae
Description: long non-coding RNA (SBIC_LNC007102)
Source: RNAcentral
GUGCCAUUUAUUAGCUUUGUAAAUCGUAGUUGGACCUUUCGGGGUAUGAGUGAACUGCAUCUUUUAUUUUUUCAUGAUAUAUUUUAUGAAUUUUAUCAUUAAUCAAUGUUUCCAAUAUAAGAGUUUCAAGCUAUGAUAUAUUUGUCUAUUGUGAGUGGUCAUAGUAGAGCUAAUUCGUCGUAAAUUUUUUAUUCAGCCCCUCCUAAACUUUUUUUUGGCUUCGUCCCUGCAUGGAGACAUGCAAAAGCGCAGUCUCAGUUCGAACUAU